Molecule: ribosomal RNA, 408 nt
Filed under: uncultured bacterium
Lineage: Bacteria
Description: partial 16S ribosomal RNA
Rfam family: Bacterial small subunit ribosomal RNA
Source: RNAcentral
GACGAACGCUGACGGCGUGCUUAACACAUGCAAGUCGAAGGGAGUGGCGAACGGGUGAGUAACACGUGAGUAACCUGCCCUUUUCUUUGGGAUAAGCCUGGGAAACUGGGUCUAAUACUGGAUGGAUUGGGAUGGGCUCGCGGCUUAUCAGCUUGUUGGUGGGGUGAUGGCUUACCAAGGCGUUGACGGGUAGCCGGUCUGAGAGGGUGGUCGGCCACACUGGGACUGAGAUACGGCCCAGACUCCUACGGGAGGCAGCAGUGGGGGAUAUUGCACAAUGGACGAAAGCCUGACGCAGCAAUGCCGCGUGUGUGAUGAAGGCCUUAGGGUCGUAAAGCUCUUUCAUUCGGGAAGCGUUACCUAAACAGAAAGCACCGGCUAACUACGUGCCAGCAGCCGCGGUAAUAC